This 1083-nucleotide long non-coding RNA is filed under the name Penaeus japonicus. Its description in RNAcentral is "uncharacterized LOC122261564". The record is from RNAcentral. Lineage: Eukaryota; Metazoa; Arthropoda; Malacostraca; Decapoda; Penaeidae.
UCUUUAUUGUGCAAACACUAAGCCAGUUUUACAAACAAGUCUAUAUAAAUAAGAAAAAAAUAAAUAAAAACAUCCAUUCAAACCUUACUUGAAAAUAAGCUCAGAAGCUCCAGUUUUGUCAAGAUAUCCCGAUAUGACUUUAAUAAUCACUUUAAUAUAUAUCCCUCACGUGACACAUCCUCAUGAAAUCAUUUUUUCUCCAUAAGAUUAUAAAUUUUCUUCUUCUGUCAAAGUGUCGUAGCUUUCCUUCACCUGGCCCCGGCCUCAUAAAAUCCCUCCCUUAUCAAAGCCCCGACGUAAAAUUCCUUCUAUUAUCACAAUCAUCAUAAAAAAAAAGCAUUUUCACGUAUAAAGAGUACAAAUAAAAUUCUGAACUGAAAAUUCCUCGCUGUCUCACUGAAAAGCCCCUGUCUCAUAGAGGUCCUUUUUUUCUUGACCCUCCCAAAAGAUAUUUUCCCUGCCGUCUGCCAUGCUUCCCCCAUGAACUAAGCCUAUCCAUCACUCAUUUUCCACCUCCAGUAUAUUCACACCUCAUUUCUCUUACCCAUCAACACCACCACUGUUGCAAGUGUCCUCAUAUUGACCCUGGACACCACAGGCCUCGCGGCUACAGCUACAGAGACGUAUGACACUGCUGAGAGAACCAGUGUGGAUUUCUCGUCUUAAUUAGAACGGUUCUAGGUCUGAUCUGUCGAUGUUUUUGUUGUUAUGCAAUCCUUCAAUCCUCCAGCUACGACAGACGUGGAUUCCUAGACAUGUCAUUGCAUUUGUGGAGGGGAACUUUUGUCCGCAAAGCAACAGCUCACUUUGCGUAAACCAUUCAGAGUUCGACCUUAUUCACUGUAUAGUGAAUAAGGGAUGAGGGAUCCAAGUACUGGUCGGUAAUCGGAAGGAGCCGGUUGUGGUUUGUAUAAUUUUUCUUAUAUUUGCUUUAUAUUGCAUAUCAAUUAAAUGUAUAUAUGUUAUUCUGUUUUUUUCAUUAUUACAUUAUCGGAGUGUCAAUGAUGGUGACCGGGUUUGACAUUUACAGUGAUGUGGUGAUUGUUUGGUUAUUAUAUAUUUAAUAUAAAGAUAAAUACUGAC